UGAUCCGGAUUUAUUGGGUUUAAAGGGAGCGUAGAUGGAUGUUUAAGUCAGUUGUGAAAGUUUGCGGCUCAACCGUAAAAUCGCAGUUGAUACUGGAUGUCUUGAGUGCAGUUGAGGCAGGCGGAAUUCGUGGUGUAGCGGUGAAAUGCUUAGAUAUCACGAAGAACUCCGAUUGCGAAGGCAGCCUGCUAAGCUGCAACUGACAUUGAGGCUCGAAAGUGUGGGUAUCAAACAGGAUUAGAUACCCUGGUAGUCCACACGGUAAACGAUGAAUACUCGCUGUUUGCGAUAUACGGCAAGCGGCCAAGCGAAAGCGUUAAGUAUUCCACCUGGGGAGUACGCCGGCAACGGUGAAACUC
This 359-nucleotide ribosomal RNA is filed under the name uncultured bacterium. Its description in RNAcentral is "bacterial SSU rRNA". It matches the Rfam family "Bacterial small subunit ribosomal RNA", at positions 541 to 902 of the family's 1533-position model. The record is from RNAcentral.